RNAcentral lists this ribosomal RNA (395 nucleotides) under uncultured bacterium. Its description in RNAcentral is "bacterial SSU rRNA". It matches the Rfam family "Bacterial small subunit ribosomal RNA", at positions 32 to 435 of the family's 1533-position model. The record is from RNAcentral.
AAUCAACGCUGGCGGCGUGCCUAACACAUGCAAGUCGAACGCGAAAGGGGACUUCGGUUCCUGAGUAGAGUGGCGUACGGGUGAGUAACGCGUGGGUCAUCUGCCCUCGGGUGGGGAAUAACUAAUCGAAAGGUUAGCUAAUACCGCAUAACACAGUGAUGUCAAAGCAGCAAUGUGCCUGAGGAGGAGCCUGCGUCUGAUUAGGUAGUUGGUGGGGUAACGCCUACCAAGCCUGCGAUCAGUAGCUGGUCUGAGAGGACGGCCAGCCACAAUGGCACUGAGACACGGGCCAUACUCCUACGGGAGGGCAGCAGUGGGGAAUUUUGCGCAAUGGGCGAAAGCCUGACGCAGCAACGCCGCGUGAGGGAUGAAAUAUUUCGGUAUGUAAACCUCGC